Molecule: ribosomal RNA, 253 nt
Filed under: uncultured bacterium
Lineage: Bacteria
Description: partial 16S ribosomal RNA
Rfam family: Bacterial small subunit ribosomal RNA
Source: RNAcentral
UACGGAGGGUGCAAGCGUUAUCCGGAUUUACUGGGUUUAAAGGGUGCGUAGGUGGGUAAGUAAGUCAGUGGUGAAAUCUUCGAGCUUAACUCGGAAACUGCCAUUGAUACUAUUUAUCUUGAAUACUUUGGAGGUAAGCGGAAUAUGUCAUGUAGCGGUGAAAUGCUUAGAUAUGACAUAGAACACCAAUUGCGAAGGCAGCUUACUACACAGUUAUUGACACUGAGGCACGAAAGCGUGGGGACCAAACAGG